GACGAACGCUGGCGGCGUGCUUAACACAUGCAAGUCGAACGGAAAGGCCCUGCUUUUGUGGGGUGCUCGAGUGGCGAACGGGUGAGUAACACGUGAGUAACCUGCCCUUGACUUUGGGAUAACUUCAGGAAACUGGGGCUAAUACCGGAUAGGAGCUCCUGCUGCAUGGUGGGGGUUGGAAAGUUUCGGCGGUUGGGGAUGGACUCGCGGCUUAUCAGCUUGUUGGUGGGGUAGUGGCUUACCAAGGCUUUGACGGGUAGCCGGCCUGAGAGGGUGACCGGCCACAUUGGGACUGAGAUACGGCCCAGACUCCUACGGGAGGCAGCAGUGGGGAAUAUUGCACAAUGGGCGGAAGCCUGAUGCAGCAACGCCGCGUGCGGGAUGACGGCCUUCGGGUUGUAAACCGCUUUCGCCUGUGACGAAGCGUGAGUGACGGUAAUGGGUAAAGAAGCACCGGCUAACUACGUGCCAGCAGCCGCGGUGAUACGUAGGGCGCGAGCGUUGUCCGGAUUUAUUGGGCGUAAAGGGCUCGUAGGUGGUUGAUCGCGUCGGAAGUGUAAUCUUGGGGCUUAACCCUGAGCGUGCUUUCGAUACGGGUUGACUUGAGGAAGGUAGGGGAGAAUGGAAUUCCUGGUGGAGCGGUGGAAUGCGCAGAUAUCAGGAGGAACACCAGUGGCGAAGGCGGUUCUCUGGGCCUUUCCUGACGCUGAGGAGCGAAAGCGUGGGGAGCGAACAGGCUUAGAUACCCUGGUAGUCCACGCUGUAAACGGUGGGUACUAGGUGUGGGGUCCAUUCCACGGGUUCCGUGCCGUAGCUAACGCUUUAAGUACCCCGCCUGGGGAGUACGGCCGCAAGGCUAAAACUCAAAGGAAUUGACGGGGCCCCGCACAAGCGGCGGAGCAUGCGGAUUAAUUCGAUGCAACGCGUAGAACCUUACCUGGGUUUGACAUGGAUCGGGAGUGCUCAGAGAUGGGUGUGCCUCUUUUGGGGUCGGUUCACAGGUGGUGCAUGGCUGUCGUCAGCUCGUGUCGUGAGAUGUUGGGUUAAGUCCCGCAACGAGCGCAACCCUUGUUCACUGUUGCCAGCACGUUAUGGUGGGGACUCAGUGGAGACCGCCGGGGUCAACUCGGAGGAAGGUGGGGAUGACGUCAAGUCAUCAUGCCCCUUAUGUCCAGGGCUUCACGCAUGCUACAAUGGCUGGUACAGAGAGUGGCGAGCCUGUGAGGGUGAGCGAAUCUCGGAAAGCCGGUCUCAGUUCGGAUUGGGGUCUGCAACUCGACCUCAUGAAGUCGGAGUCGCUAGUAAUCGCAGAUCAGCAACGCUGCGGUGAAUACGUUCCCGGGGCU
RNAcentral lists this ribosomal RNA (1346 nucleotides) under uncultured bacterium. RNAcentral's name for it is "partial 16S ribosomal RNA". It matches the Rfam family "Bacterial small subunit ribosomal RNA", at positions 28 to 1381 of the family's 1533-position model. The record is from RNAcentral.